CAGUAGCCGCGGUAAUACAGAGGGUGCAAGCGUUAAUCGGAAUUACUGGGCGUAAAGCGCGCGUAGGUGGUUUGUUAAGUUGGAUGUGAAAUCCCCGGGCUCAACCUGGGAACUGCAUUUGUGACUGUAUAGCUAGAGUACGGCAGAGGGGGAUGGAAUUCCGCGUGUAGCAGUGAAAUGCGUAGAUAUGCGGAGGAACACCGAUGGCGAAGGCAAUCCCCUGGGCCUGUACUGACGCUCAUGCACGAAAGCGUGGGGAGCAAACAGGAUUAGAUACCCGUGUAGUCCCUGUCUCUUAUAU
This 301-nucleotide ribosomal RNA is filed under the name uncultured bacterium. RNAcentral's name for it is "partial 16S ribosomal RNA". It matches the Rfam family "Bacterial small subunit ribosomal RNA", at positions 509 to 809 of the family's 1533-position model. The record is from RNAcentral.